RNAcentral lists this ribosomal RNA (1159 nucleotides) under Cantharellus addaiensis. RNAcentral's name for it is "eukaryotic LSU rRNA". It matches the Rfam family "Eukaryotic large subunit ribosomal RNA", at positions 85 to 1258 of the family's 3401-position model. Lineage: Eukaryota; Fungi; Basidiomycota; Agaricomycetes; Cantharellales; Hydnaceae. The record is from RNAcentral.
AACUGCGAGUGAAGAGGGAAGAGCUCAUCAUUGGAAUCUGGCGGUGUUGCACCGCUCCGAGUUGUAGAUGAGGAGUGGUUCAUCUGGACUGCAUGGCAUCCAAGUACAAUAGGCCGUCAGUGGGACAUCAUAGAGGGUGACAAUCCCGUCCUUGAUGCUAAUGUACAAGUCCUUUACGAUGGCUAUCUCAGAGAGUCGAGCAGUUUGGGAUUUGCUGCUUAAACAUGGGAGGUAGAUUCCUUCUAAAGCUAAAUACAGGCGAGAGACCGAUAGAGAACAAGUACCGCAAGGGAAAGAUGAAAUAGAACUCUGUGAAGGGAGUCAAAAGGCGUGAAAUUGUUGCGAGAGAAGCGAUUCAAGUCAGCGUAGCUAGGCCCAUCAAGCUUUAUCGCUUUGGACUAGCUUUGCCAGCGGUCUUGUCCUCAGAAGACUUGACUUUAGUAUGCCCAGCCUGGUCUAUACAGGUAGCCCCUUCACGGGGGCCAGCGGCAUGGCUGGUGGAAUGGCUUGCAAUCGACCCGUCUUGAAACACGGACCAAGGAGUCUAACAUGUAUGCGAGUAUAAGGGUGGCAAACCCGUAUGCGCAAUGAAAGUGACUUUCGUUGAUUGAGAAUGGCCUGACGACCAGACAAGCAAUAUAUGUCCCUCGAACGGCCAUUGCCCAAGUUCCGUGGUAUACCCCACGAACAUGGAGUUGGAGCAUACAUGCUAGGACCCGAAAGAUGGUGAACUAUGCCUGGACAAAGCGAAGCCAAAGGAAACUCUGGUGGAGGCUUGUAGCGAUUCUGACGUGCAAAUCGAUCGUCUGAUCUGGGUAUAGGGGCGAAAGACUAAUCGAACCAUCUCAUAGCUGGUUCCUGCCGAAGUUUCCCUCAGGAUAGCAGAGACCUAGUGGAAGUUGCAUGUGGUAAAGCGAAUGAUUAUUGAUCCUGGGGCUCAAAUGGGCCUCAGUCUAUUCUCAAACUGUGAAUGCGUGCGGUUGGACUGUGCUUAGCAAUAGAAGCCCUGCCAGCAAUGCUUCAGUCUCUAGUGGGCCGUUUCUGGUAAGCAGAACUGGCGAUGCGGGAUGAACCGAAAGUGAGGUUAAAGUGCCAGAAUGCACACUAACCAGAGAUAAAAGGUGUAUGUGCAUGGACACAGCAGGGCAGUGGCCAUGGA